AUAUGUAUAUGUGUGUCUCUCCUGAGGCUGUGCGCUCGGUCAAAGAGGACGAACUUCCACCCAGAGAGGACCGGUCUUCUGUCAAGGGUAUACGAGUAGCUGCGCUCCCCUGCUAGAACCUCCAAAACAAGCUCUCAAGAUAACUUGUUAUGUAAAAUUAAAUUAUUUAUCUAAGAUGCACCUAUACUGAAUUUAUCUGAAAAAUAAAGU
This 210-nucleotide small nuclear RNA is filed under the name Myotis davidii. RNAcentral describes it as "7SK RNA". It matches the Rfam family "7SK RNA". Rfam says of the family: 7SK was discovered as an abundant small nuclear RNA in the mid-70s but a possible function has only recently been suggested. Two independent studies have found that 7SK RNA binds the CDK9/cyclin T complex (known as elongation factor P-TEFb). Lineage: Eukaryota; Metazoa; Chordata; Mammalia; Chiroptera; Vespertilionidae. The record is from Rfam by way of RNAcentral.